UUGAUCCUGCCGGACCUUACUGCUAUCGGGUGAAGACUAAGCCAUGCGAGUUGCGCUUCCCCUAGCCACGUUGGGGACGCAGCACACGGCUCCAUAACACGUAGCUAAUCUGCCCUUGGGACGGGUAUAACCCUGGGAAACUGGGGCUAAUUCCCGAUAAGCGCAGUGGCCUGGAAUGGUACUGCACCUAAAGGGCCCCAGGAACAUGCUCUUGGAGUCGCCCAAGGAUGAGGCUGCGGCCGAUCAGGUUGUUGGUGGGGUAACGGCCUACCAAGCCUAUAACCGGUACGGGCCCUGAGAGGGGUGGCCCGGAGAUGGGAACUGAGACAAGGUCCCAGGUCCUACGGGGCGCAGCAGGCGCGAAAACUCCACAAUGCGCGAAUGCGUGAUGGGGUUAGCCCGAGUGCCGUCCGAUGAGGAUGGCUUUUCUUCAGUUUAAGGAGCUGGAGGAAUAAAGGGGGGGCAAGACUGGUGUCAGCCGCCGCGGUAAUACCAGCCCCCUGAGUGGUAAGGACGAUUAUUUGGCCUAAAGCGUCCGUAGCCGGCUUGGUAAGUCUUCCGUUAAAUCCGACGAUUCCAUCGCCGGACCGCGGAAGAUACUGCUAGGCUUGAGGACGGGAGAGGUCGACGGUAGUCCCGGGGUAGGGGUGAAAUCCUAUAAUCCCGGGAGGACCACCAGUGGCGAAGGCGGUCGACUAGAACGUGCCUGACGGUGAUGGACGAAAGCUGGGGGAGCGAACCGGAUUAGACACCCGGGUAGUCCCAGCUGUAAACGAUGCGAGCUAGGUGUUGGAGCAACUACGGGUUGCUCCAGUGCCGCAGAAAAGUUGUUAAGCUCGCCGCCUGGGAAGUACGGCCGCAAGGCUGAAACUUAAAGGAAUUGGCGGGGGAGCACUACAAGGGUGAAGCCUGCGGUUCAAUUGGAGUCAACGCGG
RNAcentral lists this ribosomal RNA (935 nucleotides) under uncultured archaeon. RNAcentral's name for it is "bacterial SSU rRNA". It matches the Rfam family "Archaeal small subunit ribosomal RNA", at positions 8 to 920 of the family's 1478-position model. The record is from RNAcentral.